UACGUAGGGUGCGAGCGUUGUCCGGAAUUAUUGGGCGUAAAGAGCUCGUAGGCGGUGUGUCACGUCGUUCGUGAAAACCUGCAGCUUAACUGUGGGCGUGCGGUCGAUACGGGCAUCACUGGAGUUCGGCAGGGGAGACUGGAAUUCCUGGUGUAGCGGUGAAAUGCGUAGAUAUCUGGAGGAACACCGGUGGCGAAGGCGGCAUCCUGGACCGAGAUUGACGCUGAGGCGCGAAAGCCAGGGGAGCAAACGGG
This 254-nucleotide ribosomal RNA is filed under the name uncultured bacterium. RNAcentral describes it as "partial 16S ribosomal RNA". It matches the Rfam family "Bacterial small subunit ribosomal RNA", at positions 524 to 776 of the family's 1533-position model. The record is from RNAcentral.